GGUAAUUAAAUAGUCAUACCGUAGACAGUAGGUGCGUUUUUCGCUUAAAUAACCUACCGAGGUGAGCAGAUAGAUCUCUAACAUUCUUAGAGUACAGUGCCCUCGCGUGUCUAACGUGAGGGUUUUCUAUAUGGAGCC
Non-coding RNA from Bacillus sp. JCM 19045, 138 nucleotides. The record is from Rfam. Lineage: Bacteria; Bacillati; Bacillota; Bacilli; Caryophanales; Bacillaceae.